GCAGCCGCGGUAAUACGUAGGGGGCAAGCGUUAUCCGGAAUUACUGGGUGUAAAGGGUGCGUAGGCGGCACCGUAAGUCAGUUGUGAAACCCCUGAGCUCAACUCAGGGCUUGCAAUUGAAACUGCGGAGCUAGAGUACAGGAGAGGAAAGCGGAAUUCCUAGUGUAGCGGUGAAAUGCGUAGAUAUUAGGAAGAACACCAGUGGCGAAGGCGGCUUUCUGGACUGAAACUGACGCUGAGGCACGAAAGCGUGGGGAGCAAACAGGAUUAGAUACCCC
This 278-nucleotide ribosomal RNA is filed under the name uncultured Defluviitaleaceae bacterium. Its description in RNAcentral is "partial 16S ribosomal RNA". It matches the Rfam family "Bacterial small subunit ribosomal RNA", at positions 511 to 788 of the family's 1533-position model. Lineage: Bacteria; Bacillati; Bacillota; Clostridia; Lachnospirales; Defluviitaleaceae. The record is from RNAcentral.